RNAcentral lists this ribosomal RNA (253 nucleotides) under uncultured Pasteuria sp. RNAcentral describes it as "partial 16S ribosomal RNA". It matches the Rfam family "Bacterial small subunit ribosomal RNA", at positions 524 to 776 of the family's 1533-position model. Lineage: Bacteria; Bacillati; Bacillota; Bacilli; Caryophanales; Pasteuriaceae. The record is from RNAcentral.
UACGAGAGGCCCAAACGUUAUUCGGAUUUACUGGGCUUAAAGAGUCCGUAGGCGGCGCGACAAGUGGGGUGUGAAAGCCCUCGGCUCAACCGAGGAACUGCGCUCCAAACUGUCGUGCUAGAGGAACCUAGAGGUGAGCAGAACAGAUGGUGGAGCGGUGAAAUGCGUUGAUAUCAUCUGGAAUACCGGAGGCGAAGGCGGCUCACUGGGAGUUUUCUGACGCUGAGGGACGAAAGCCAGGGUAGCGAACGGG